Molecule: long non-coding RNA, 615 nt
Organism: Megalops cyprinoides (Indo-Pacific tarpon)
Lineage: Eukaryota; Metazoa; Chordata; Actinopteri; Elopiformes; Megalopidae
Exons: 5
Source: RefSeq, a predicted model, not a curated record
CUUCGUCUCCGCGUCGUGCAGGGAAGGACAUGGUGAACAAAAAGAAAUGUCUGGAGGCAGUGAAAGUAGUGGGAUACAUCCAGACCUCCAGUGACCGCUGCUCUUUCAAGACCAUCUUUGCCAAGCACCUCCACGAUGGAAAGUGGCAAUGGUCAGCCUUCUACUGCUGACCUGUCUUGACCGUGAAGGAACUGUGCCAAUGUGGCCCCCCCCUCCAAUGCCCAUCUGUGACUCCAGGUGCAAGUCCAAGGAGGCGGCCUUGCUAAUACAGGCAAGAUGACGAGGGAAAGAAGCAGCUAGAGAAGGACUUUGCUACCAUGAAUAAGUCCUCACAGGUCAACUGCGUCAUUAUCUACACAUUAUCUACACGCAGUUUCCUCUUCCUUUGUGAACUGAUCCCACCUUCUCUAUUCACCAGUCGCUUGAAAUUCAAAGGAGCCCGUAUGUAAUGGAAAAGAUUGACUUCAUUGACACCACCUCUGAUUUGGUCAUGGUCUCUUCCAGAAUGUGGAGGAAGUGUUUUCAUGGGACCGCUCAACGAAGGCUGCAUUGCCAAGAAGGAGGCUGCCUGAAGUCCACUGCUCCCAUAUCUCUUUGAUUGUUUGAUACUUCAUA